Molecule: ribosomal RNA, 557 nt
Filed under: uncultured bacterium
Lineage: Bacteria
Description: bacterial SSU rRNA
Rfam family: Bacterial small subunit ribosomal RNA
Source: RNAcentral
ACGGGUGAGUAACGCGUGGGAACGUGCCUUCCGGUUCGAAAUAACCCUGGGAAACUAGGGCUAAUACCGGAUACGCCCUUUUGGGGAAAGGUUUACUGCCGGAAGAUCGGCCCGCGUCUGAUUAGCUAGUUGGUGGGGUAACGGCCUACCAAGGCGACGAUCAGUAGCUGGUCUGAGAGGAUGAUCAGCCACACUGGGACUGAGACACGGCCCAGACUCCUACGGGAGGCAGCAGUGGGGAAUAUUGGACAAUGGGCGCAAGCCUGAUCCAGCCAUGCCGCGUGAGUGAUGAAGGCCUUAGGGUUGUAAAGCUCUUUUAUCCGGGACGAUAAUGACGGUACCGGAGGAAUAAGCCCCGGCUAACUUCGUGCCAGCAGCCGCGGUAAUACGAAGGGGGCUAGCGUUGCUCGGAAUCACUGGGCGUAAAGGGCGCGUAGGCGGCGUUUUAAGUCGGGGGUGAAAGCCUGUGGCUCAACCACAGAAUGGCCUUCGAUACUGGGACGCUUGAGUAUGGUAGAGGUUGGUGGAACUGCGAGUGUAGAGGUGAAAUUCGUAGA